GAAACACACAUAGAAACUUUUAGUUUUCUCAUGAUUUGGUUGAGUGUAAUUGUGUUGCUGUCCUCACCAUGUCUCUCUCUCUCUCUCUCUUUCACACACACACAGACAGAGAGAGAGAGACACUGAAUACAACUGACUCCACACUUCACAAACAGAAUGUAUCAUGUGAGAUAAAUGGCAUGCGAACAAACUGGUAUCUGAUUGAUAUUUUAAGAGAGAAGCUUUCAUCUCCAGACAGAGCUGGUCUGACACAGAGAAAGACAGAGAUAGACAGUGACAGUGAUAUAGAUAUAGAGACACGGAAAGACGGAGAGAGACGACAGACAAAGUGAUCCAGAGAGACGACAAAGUGAUCCAGAGAGACGACAGAGAGUGAUCCAGAGAGACGACAGACAAAGUGAUCCAGAGAGACGACAGACAAAGUGAUCCAGAGAGACGACAGACAAAGUGAUCCAGAGAGACGACAGACAAAGUGAUCCAGUGAGCCGACAGAGAGUGAUCCAGAGAGACGACAGACAAAGUGAUCCAGAGAGACGACAGACAAAGUGAUCCAGAGAGACGACAGACAAAGUGAUCCAGAGAGACGACAGAGAGUGAUCCAGAGAGACGACAAUGUGAUCCAGAGAGACGACAGAGAGUGAUCCAGAGAGACGACAGAGAGUGAUCCAGAGAGACGACAGACAAAGUGAUCCAGAGACGACAGACAAAGUGAUCCAGUGAGACGACAGACAAAGUGAUCCAGAGAGACGACAGACAAAGUGAUCCAGAGAGACGACAGAGAGUGAUCCAGAGAGACGACAAAGUGAUCCAGAGAGACGACAGAGAGUGAUCCAGAGAGACGACAGAGAGUGAUCCAGAGAGACGACAGACAAAGUGAUCCAGAGACGACAGACAAAGUGAUCCAGUGAGACGACAGACAAAGUGAUCCAGAGAGAGGGUCAUAGAACAGAGUGACAGAAUAAGACACCAGCUGUUAUAUCUAACUGAAGGUGGCUACCUCAUGAAGCUGGUUGAGAGAAUGCCAAGAGUGUGCAAAGCUGUCAUCAAGGCAAAGAGUGGCUACUUUGAAGAAUCUCAAAUAUAAUAUAUAUUUUGAUUUGUCUAGCACUUUUUGGGUUACUACAUGAUUUCAUAUGUGUUAUAUCAUUGAAAAAUGUGUAGGUUGUCCAAACGUUUAACUGGUAUUGUAGCUAUGUAUGAAUAUAUGUAUGUAUGAACACAUUAAAAUACAAAAACACAGUCAAUGGGAAGCGCAAAUAAAUCAUCACAAAUCACCCAGAAACUGUUACAUUCCUCUACAAAUAAGUCCCCAAUCGAUACUUUAAAUUGCCCAAAUGGCACCAGAACAUAAUUAACAUGAUGAAUCAAUACCAUUGAUAAUCCAGUUACUUCAAGGACAAUUCCAUCACAAUAAAAACAGUUAUGCUGUAAGUGUAUAUGCACUACUGUAAGAUUUGAUAGAAAUGUUGGUGUUUUAUUGUUUUUGUCAGUCACAUUGCAUGAUUUCUCACGUUAGUCAUUUUUAGAACCUCUGGUCGAGUUCCUGCCCAUGGAUUUGCAUCACCAAUUGGCUGCGAGCCACGUCGACGACAGUGCAGUCGGGCAUCAGAUUUUGCUAUAUGAUGUGGUUAGCUCUUAUGUUAAAUACCUAUCCACGCGUUGUAAGAUCUGGCAUGCGUCUGCAACGUAGUCGGGCAGGAACUCAACCUCUGUUUCACCCUAGUCUACAGUGUACUAUUAUUCACAGAGUGUAAUGCUCUACUAGCAAGCCCAGCUAAAAUAGUCUAAAUAUAUUGCAUGGGUGUAUCAAAUCAAAGUGUAUUUGUCACGUGCGCCAAAUACAACAGGUGUGGUAGACCUUACAGUGAAAUGCUGAAUACAGGCUCUAACCAAAAGUGCAAUUUAAGUAAAAGACAAACAACUAUUAGAUAAACAAUAGAUAAGAAAAAAGGAAACAGUAAAAGGACAGUGAAAAUAACAGUAGCGAGGCUAUAUGCAGGUGGUACCGUAGAUUAGAAUGUAUAGUUAACGUAACUAUGCAUAGAUGAACAGGGAGCCGCAGCAGCGUAAAAGAAGGGUAUUUCACAUGAUUUAAGGGUUGUAAUCCAAUUUGCGAAAGAUUGUCUUCCAAAUAUUCUCAAAUCUGCCUAAAACAAUAUGUGCAUUUACCCACCAGACUUAUUGCGGGUAAAAGGCUUUGAGUGAUGACAUAGUGCACAUAAAAAUAACUUUUGCCACUAAAUUCCCACGUACCAAAUGAAAAAGUUAAAUAGUUUUCCAUCAUUUUCAUCUCCACUGAUGGUUUGGUCUCAAAAACUGUUUUGUUAAAUAACAAAUGUGUCCACUCUGGUCAUGGCAUAUGCACUUGAACCACCCGCUCACAGGCUACCACCCGCUCACAGGCUACCACCCGCUCACAGGCUACCAACCGCUCACAGGCUACCACCCGCUCACAGGCUACCACCCGCUCACAGGCUACCACCCGCUCACAGGCUACCACCCGCUCACAGGCUACCAACCGCUCACAGGCUACCAACCGCUCACAGGCUACCACCCGCUCACAGGCUACCACCCGCUCACAGGCUACCAACCGCUCACAGGCUACCAACCGCUCACAGGCUACCACCCGCUCACAGGCUACCACCCGCUCACAGGCUACCACCCGCUCACAGGCUACCAACCGCUCACAGGCUACCAACCGCUCACAGGCUACCACCC
Long non-coding RNA from Oncorhynchus tshawytscha (Chinook salmon), 2718 nucleotides. The record is from Ensembl. NCBI's taxonomy places the organism in Eukaryota, Metazoa, Chordata, Actinopteri, Salmoniformes, Salmonidae.